This 536-nucleotide ribosomal RNA is filed under the name uncultured bacterium. RNAcentral describes it as "partial 16S ribosomal RNA". It matches the Rfam family "Bacterial small subunit ribosomal RNA", at positions 355 to 902 of the family's 1533-position model. The record is from RNAcentral.
UGGGGAAUAUUGCACAAUGGGCGCAAGCCUGAUGCAGCGACGCCGCGUGAGGGAUGACGGCCUUCGGGUUGUAAACCUCUUUCACCAGGGACGAAGCGCAAGUGACGGUACCUGGAGAAGAAGCACCGGCCAACUACGUGCCAGCAGCCGCGGUAAUACGUAGGGUGCGAGCGUUGUCCGGAAUUACUGGGCGUAAAGAGCUCGUAGGUGGUUUGUCGCGUUGUUCGUGAAAACUCACAACUCAAUUGUGGGCGUGCGGGCGAUACGGGCAGACUAGAGUACUGCAGGGGAGACUGGAAUUCCUGGUGUAGCGGUGGAAUGCGCAGAUAUCAGGAGGAACACCGGUGGCGAAGGCGGGUCUCUGGGCAGUAACUGACGCUGAGGAGCGAAAGCGUGGGGAGCGAACAGGAUUAGAUACCCUGGUAGUCCACGCCGUAAACGGUGGGUACUAGGUGUGGGUUCCUUCCUUGGGAUCCGUGCCGUAGCUAACGCAUUAAGUACCCCGCCUGGGGAGUACGGCCGCAAGGCUAAAACUC